RNAcentral lists this long non-coding RNA (998 nucleotides) under Homo sapiens (human). RNAcentral describes it as "HSALNT0222174". The record is from RNAcentral. Lineage: Eukaryota; Metazoa; Chordata; Mammalia; Primates; Hominidae.
UGGAAUCUCAGUGGGUCUGAAGUAAAGACUUUAAAGAUUGCUGCCUAGCCCCUUUGCAGUUCUGAUGAGAAUUAGGGUGUAGGGGACAGUGCCCCAGUCUCCCAGCUGUGAGUGGUUCAGCUGGAUUGAGCCUCUGAACUCCCAGGGCAGAGGUCUCUCCUGUGGCCUUCCCCCUUGUUGGAAACCCCUUCCCCAUCCCCCAAGGAGGCCUGUGAGGGUUGGACCUGGGAGGACCAGGAUGGCCAAGGUGUGCAGUGCCAGGCCCAGGUGGAAGUGUAGUGGGGGAUAAUAAAAGUCCCCUGAACUCCAGGCCCAGGCCUUGGAGCAGGUGCAAGUUGGGUCUGGACUUUUCCAUUCCAAGCCCACUCCCCUGCCCCCAGCUCAGCCACCCAGUUGACCCCCUCAGGCAGGAAGGGAUGGUGGACAAACAGCUUGCAUGUGGCCUGCCGUUAAGAGGGAGGUGGAGACACUCCCUGGGGCCCCAUCCAUGGCUACACUGAGCCUGCUGCCCUGUCAUCAGAUGAAAAGCCAGCAACUGCUCCUGAGAGGACCUCAUUGAUUAAGUCUCUCCUUGUUAUUAACAGCAGGAACUCUGGGCCCAGGGUGUAGCCUUGCAGAGCUCUGAGGGAAACAGGGUGAUGAAACAGAGACCUGUGGUCACAAUCAACACAUGCCCCUUGUUGGCUAAAGCCCACACUCCCUCCAAGGCCCACAGGGUCCCAGGUGACUUCAGCAGCCUCCGCUGGUGCCCCAUGCUGGGCUCCAGUUUCAGAGCUGCACCAACCCUCCCCAGGCCUGCUGCCCCAGUAGCACCCAGCAAUGGGCUUGAGCCGGCUCCCACUGACCUUUGAUUGUCUGCGUUCAGUGACAUCAUGCCACCAUGAGAGUGUUUACACCAUACAAUGCCAAAUGCUACCAAUCUGCUGACCCCUCCACCGCCCACCCUAGAGCCAAUUAUUAGAAAUUUACCAGCAGGUCACUGUGCAUGCUGACCUUUG